RNAcentral lists this ribosomal RNA (424 nucleotides) under uncultured Peptoniphilus sp. RNAcentral describes it as "bacterial SSU rRNA". It matches the Rfam family "Bacterial small subunit ribosomal RNA", at positions 338 to 779 of the family's 1533-position model. The record is from RNAcentral. Lineage: Bacteria; Bacillati; Bacillota; Tissierellia; Tissierellales; Peptoniphilaceae.
CCUACGGGAGGCAGCAGUGGGGAAUAUUGCACAAUGGGGGAAACCCUGAUGCAGCGACGCCGCGUGAAGGAUGAAGUAUUUCGGUAUGUAAACUUCUAUCAGCAGGGAAGAAAAUGACGGUACCUGACUAAGAAGCCCCGGCUAACUACGUGCCAGCAGCCGCGGUAAUACGUAGGGGGCAAGCGUUAUCCGGAUUUACUGGGUGUAAAGGGAGCGUAGACGGCAUGGCAAGUCUGAAGUGAAAGCCCGGGGCUCAACCCCGGGACUGCUUUGGAAACUGUCAGGCUAGAGUGCUGGAGAGGUAAGUGGAAUUCCUAGUGUAGCGGUGAAAUGCGUAGAUAUUAGGAGGAACACCAGUGGCGAAGGCGGCUUACUGGACAGUGACUGACGUUGAGGCUCGAAAGCGUGGGGAGCAAACAGGAUU